GACGAACGCUGGCGGCGUGCUUAACACAUGCAAGUCGAACGGAAAGGCCCUGCUUGCAGGGUACUCGAGUGGCGAACGGGUGAGUAACACGUGGGUGAUCUGCCCUGCACUUCGGGAUGAGCUUGGGAAACUGGGUCUAAUACCGGAUAGGACCGCACUUUAGUGUGUGUGGUGGAAAGUUUUUUCGGUGUAGGAUGAGCUCGCGGCCUAUCAGCUUGUUGGUGGGGUAAUGGCCUACCAAGGCGGCGACGGGUAGCCGGCCUGAGAGGGUGUACGGCCACAUUGGGACUGAGAUACGGCCCAGACUCCUACGGGAGGCAGCAGUGGGGAAUAUUGCACAAUGGGCGCAAGCCUGAUGCAGCGACGCCGCGUGGGGGAUGAAGGCCUUCGGGUUGUAAACUCCUUUCGCUAGGGACGAAGCUUUUUGUGACGGUACCUAGAUAAGAAGCACCGGCUAACUACGUG
This 465-nucleotide ribosomal RNA is filed under the name uncultured bacterium. RNAcentral's name for it is "partial 16S ribosomal RNA". It matches the Rfam family "Bacterial small subunit ribosomal RNA", at positions 28 to 507 of the family's 1533-position model. The record is from RNAcentral.